Molecule: long non-coding RNA, 205 nt
Filed under: Sorghum bicolor (sorghum)
Lineage: Eukaryota; Viridiplantae; Streptophyta; Magnoliopsida; Poales; Poaceae
Description: long non-coding RNA (SBIC_LNC013500)
Source: RNAcentral
GGCCCAGAUGAGAAGAGGUAGGGAAGGGAAAGGGGAGCUGGGCUCGGGCGCUGCUGCUGCUCUGCUGGGCUGGCCAUUGGGCCGAGGGAGGUGAGGGAGGAGAGGGCCUUCAGGCCAAAAGCAGUGGAGGGAGAGUUUUUCCCUUUUUCUUUUCUUUUGUUUUCUUUUGUUGGUUUUUAUUUCAAAAGCCAUUUGAAACUCUUUU